RNAcentral lists this ribosomal RNA (465 nucleotides) under Vreelandella stevensii. RNAcentral describes it as "partial 16S ribosomal RNA". It matches the Rfam family "Bacterial small subunit ribosomal RNA", at positions 338 to 795 of the family's 1533-position model. The record is from RNAcentral. Lineage: Bacteria; Pseudomonadati; Pseudomonadota; Gammaproteobacteria; Oceanospirillales; Halomonadaceae.
CCUACGGGAGGCUGCAGUGGGGAAUAUUGGACAAUGGGGGCAACCCUGAUCCAGCCAUGCCGCGUGUGUGAAGAAGGCCCUCGGGUUGUAAAGCACUUUCAGUGAGGAAGAACGCCUGGUGGUUAAUACCCAUCAGGAAAGACAUCACUCACAGAAGAAGCACCGGCUAACUCCGUGCCAGCAGCCGCGGUAAUACGGAGGGUGCGAGCGUUAAUCGGAAUUACUGGGCGUAAAGCGCGCGUAGGUGGCUUGAUAAGCCGGUUGUGAAAGCCCCGGGCUCAACCGGGGAACGGCAUCCGGAACUGUCAAGCUAGAGUGCAGGAGAGGAAGGUAGAAUUCCCGGUGUAGCGGUGAAAUGCGUAGAGAUCGGGAGGAAUACCAGUGGCGAAGGCGGCCUUCUGGACUGACACUGACACUGAGGUGCGAAAGCGUGGGUAGCAAACAGGAUUAGAUACCCUUGUAGUC